AGUCGAACGAGCGAGAGAGAGCUUGCUUUCUCGAGCGAGUGGCGAACGGGUGAGUAACGCGUGAGGAACCUGCCUCAAAGAGGGGGACAACAGUUGGAAACGACUGCUAAUACCGCAUAAGCCCACGGGUCGGCAUCGACCAGAGGGAAAAGGAGUGAUCCGCUUUGAGAUGGCCUCGCGUCCGAUUAGCUAGUUGGUGAGGUAACGGCCCACCAAGGCGACGAUCGGUAGCCGGACUGAGAGGUUGAACGGCCACAUUGGGACUGAGACACGGCCCAGACUCCUACGGGAGGCAGCAGUGGGGAAUAUUGCACAAUGGGGGAAACCCUGAUGCAGCGACGCCGCGUGGAGGAAGAAGGUCUUCGGAUUGUAAACUCCUGUUGUUGGGGAAGAUAAUGACGGUACUCAACAAGGAAGUGACGGCUAACUACGUGCCAGCAGCCGCGGUAAAACGUAGGUCACAAGCGUUGUCCGGAAUUACUGGGUGUAAAGGGAGCGCAGGCGGGAAGACAAGUUGGAAGUGAAAUCUAUGGGCUCAACCCAUAAACUGCUUUCAAAACUGUUUUUCUUGAGUAGUGCAGAGGUAGGCGGAAUUCCCGGUGUAGCGGUGGAAUGCGUAGAUAUCGGGAGGAACACCAGUGGCGAAGGCGGCCUACUGGGCACCAACUGACGCUGAGGCUCGAAAGUGUGGGUAGCAAACAGGAUUAGAUACCCUGGUAGUCCACACCGUAAACGAUGAUUACUAGGUGUUGGAGGAUUGACCCCUUCAGUGCCGCAGUUAACACAAUAAGUAAUCCACCUGGG
This 804-nucleotide ribosomal RNA is filed under the name uncultured bacterium. Its description in RNAcentral is "bacterial SSU rRNA". It matches the Rfam family "Bacterial small subunit ribosomal RNA", at positions 60 to 877 of the family's 1533-position model. The record is from RNAcentral.